RNAcentral lists this long non-coding RNA (517 nucleotides) under Medicago truncatula (barrel medic). RNAcentral describes it as "lncRNA gene863". Lineage: Eukaryota; Viridiplantae; Streptophyta; Magnoliopsida; Fabales; Fabaceae. The record is from RNAcentral.
UAACAUUUUUCUUUUGAGAAACAUACAAGAUCUACAUAUGGAAAAAAACAAUUUGAUUGUUGGGGUUCAAAACAUAAAAACUUGUGUGAGAUCCUUUGUUAAAAAUCAUGUGUUUUUUUUUCUUCUUUCAAACCUUAAUUCAAAACUUUGUUGUUAUUCUUUAUACUACGUUUGUUUCUAAUAAUAGACAUUGUAAUUGAUUAUUCUCUUAUGCCGGAAGCUUCUUGUGUGUCUGGUUUUAAGUUAGGGAAAAAGCUAAAAGUGAUUUCAUAUAAAAUUGAUUAUUCUCUUAUGUUGGACGCUUCACGUGUAUUUCGUUUGAUUAUCAUAUUUUGGUGAUUUCGAUUGAAAUCGAUUUUGGUUUUAGUUUGAUUCUUUUAUGUUGACUCAAAACGUGAAUUUUAAACUUAACUUUGUUUGUUGUUCUAAAAAAAACUCAAUUUUUUUGUUCAAUUCAUUUUUACAAGAAUAUAUCUAGACAUAAACUAUUUCAUGAUGAAUUAACUUUUAAUUAACA